This 66-nucleotide small RNA is filed under the name Vibrio cholerae O1 biovar El Tor str. N16961. Lineage: Bacteria; Pseudomonadati; Pseudomonadota; Gammaproteobacteria; Vibrionales; Vibrionaceae. The record is from RNAcentral.
AAUCAACACUCGUUUCGCAGAACCAAACUGCCAGUACAGCAAUACGGUCACAAUCGUGACCGCGAC